GAUGAACGCUAGCGAUAGGCUUAACACAUGCAAGUCGAGGGGCAGCACAAGGUAGCUUGCUAUCUGGGUGGCGACCGGCGCACGGGUGCGUAACGCGUAUGCAACUUGCCCUAUACAGGAGGAUAACCCGUCGAAAGACGGACUAAUACUGCGUAUGCUCACAACUUGGCAUCAAGUGGUGAGGAAAGAAAUUCGGUAUAGGAUAGGCAUGCGUCCCAUUAGCUUGUUGGUGAGGUAACGGCUCACCAGGGCAACGAUGGGUAGGGGAACUGAGAGGUUUAUCCCCCACACUGGUACUGAGACACGGACCAGACUCCUACGGGAGGCAGCAGUGAGGAAUAUUGGUCAAUGGGCGCGAGCCUGAACCAGCCAAGUCGCGUGAAGGAUGACUGUCUUAUGGAUUGUAAACUUCUUUUAGACGGGAAUAACAAGAGUCACGUGUGACUCCCUGCAUGUACCGUAUGAAUAAGCAUCGGCUAACUCCGUG
Molecule: ribosomal RNA, 487 nt
Filed under: uncultured bacterium
Lineage: Bacteria
Description: partial 16S ribosomal RNA
Rfam family: Bacterial small subunit ribosomal RNA
Source: RNAcentral